Molecule: ribosomal RNA, 1492 nt
Filed under: Clostridium botulinum
Lineage: Bacteria; Bacillati; Bacillota; Clostridia; Eubacteriales; Clostridiaceae
Also listed under: 1 other name
Description: bacterial SSU rRNA
Rfam family: Bacterial small subunit ribosomal RNA
Source: RNAcentral
AGAGUUUGAUCCUGGCUCAGGACGAACGCUGGCGGCGUGCUUAACACAUGCAAGUCGAGCGAUGAAGCUUCCUUCGGGAAGUGGAUUAGCGGCGGACGGGUGAGUAACACGUGGGUAACCUGCCUCAAAGUGGGGGAUAGCCUUCCGAAAGGAAGAUUAAUACCGCAUAAUAUAAGAGAAUCGCAUGAUUUUUUUAUCAAAGAUUUAUUGCUUUGAGAUGGACCCGCGGCGCAUUAGCUAGUUGGUAAGGUAACGGCUUACCAAGGCAACGAUGCGUAGCCGACCUGAGAGGGUGAUCGGCCACAUUGGAACUGAGACACGGUCCAGACUCCUACGGGAGGCAGCAGUGGGGAAUAUUGCGCAAUGGGGGAAACCCUGACGCAGCAACGCCGCGUGGGUGAUGAAGGUCUUCGGAUUGUAAAGCCCUGUUUUCUAGGACGAUAAUGACGGUACUAGAGGAGGAAGCCACGGCUAACUACGUGCCAGCAGCCGCGGUAAUACGUAGGUGGCGAGCGUUGUCCGGAUUUACUGGGCGUAAAGGGUGCGUAGGCGGAUGUUUAAGUGGGAUGUGAAAUCCCCGGGCUUAACCUGGGGGCUGCAUUCCAAACUGGAUAUCUAGAGUGCAGGAGAGGAAAGCGGAAUUCCUAGUGUAGCGGUGAAAUGCGUAGAGAUUAGGAAGAACACCAGUGGCGAAGGCGGCUUUCUGGACUGUAACUGACGCUGAGGCACGAAAGCGUGGGUAGCAAACAGGAUUAGAUACCCUGGUAGUCCACGCCGUAAACGAUGGAUACUAGGUGUAGGGGGUAUCAACUCCCCCUGUGCCGCAGUUAACACAAUAAGUAUCCCGCCUGGGGAGUACGGUCGCAAGAUUAAAACUCAAAGGAAUUGACGGGGGCCCGCACAAGCAGCGGAGCAUGUGGUUUAAUUCGAAGCAACGCGAAGAACCUUACCUGGACUUGACAUCCCUUGCAUAGCCUAGAGAUAGGUGAAGCCCUUCGGGGCAAGGAGACAGGUGGUGCAUGGUUGUCGUCAGCUCGUGUCGUGAGAUGUUAGGUUAAGUCCUGCAACGAGCGCAACCCUUGUUAUUAGUUGCUACCAUUAAGUUGAGCACUCUAAUGAGACUGCCUGGGUAACCAGGAGGAAGGUGGGGAUGACGUCAAAUCAUCAUGCCCCUUAUGUCCAGGGCUACACACGUGCUACAAUGGUAGGUACAAUAAGACGCAAGACCGUGAGGUGGAGCAAAACUUAUAAAACCUAUCUCAGUUCGGAUUGUAGGCUGCAACUCGCCUACAUGAAGCUGGAGUUGCUAGUAAUCGCGAAUCAGAAUGUCGCGGUGAAUACGUUCCCGGGCCUUGUACACACCGCCCGUCACACCAUGAGAGCUGGUAACACCCGAAGUCCGUGAGGUAACCGUAAGGAGCCAGCGGCCGAAGGUGGGAUUAGUGAUUGGGGUGAAGUCGUAACAAGGUAGCCGUAGGAGAACCUGCGGCUG